AAUCAACGCUGGCGGCGUGCCUAACACAUGCAAGUCGAACGAGAAAGUGGAGCAAUCCAUGAGUAAAGUGGCGCACGGGUGAGUAACACGUGACUAACCUACCCUUGAGUGGGGGAUAACCUAGGGAAACCUGGGCUAAUACCGCAUAAUACCUACGGGUCAAAGGAGCAAUUCGCUUUAGGAGGGGGUCGCGGCAGAUUAGUUAGUUGGCGGGGUAAUGGCCCACCAAGACGAUGAUCUGAUCCGGCCUGAGAGGGCGCACGGACACACUGGAACUGAAACACGGUCCAGACUCCUACGGGAGGCAGCAGUGGGGAAUUUUGCGCAAUGGGGGAAACCCUGACGCAGCAACGCCGCGUGGAGGAUGAAGACCCUUGGGUCGUAAACUCCUUUCGAUCGGGACGAUAAUGACGGUACCGGAAGAAGAAGCCCCCGGCUAACUUCGUGCCAGCCG
Molecule: ribosomal RNA, 454 nt
Filed under: uncultured bacterium
Lineage: Bacteria
Description: bacterial SSU rRNA
Rfam family: Bacterial small subunit ribosomal RNA
Source: RNAcentral